Molecule: long non-coding RNA, 367 nt
Filed under: Ananas comosus (pineapple)
Lineage: Eukaryota; Viridiplantae; Streptophyta; Magnoliopsida; Poales; Bromeliaceae
Description: long non-coding RNA (ACOM_LNC021880)
Source: RNAcentral
CCCUCUUAAUAAUUCUUUGACAACCCACAUAGCCAAAUUAAAAAAACCAUCCUUAAAAUUAAAAAAAAAAAACUUUUUAUUCUAUUUGUCGGCUGUUCCUAGCGUAAAUGGCUAAGAGUUUGAUGAUUGGUAUUCAAGAUUUUAAGUUCGAAAUUUAAUUGCUUCACAUUAAUUUCCAGAUAAGUUUAUCUUAAAAAAAAAAAAUGAACGCAGCGGAUAAUAUGCUACUUUUUUUUCUCUCAAAAAAAAGAUAUUUCACUUUAUUUUACUUUUCAAGAGUCUUUAAGCGUGGUUGCUUGCACGAAAAAGCAGCCAUCGAUAUAUAUCUCAAAUUAUUUUCAUUAUUUUAUAUAAAUUAAAUCAAGCG